This 440-nucleotide ribosomal RNA is filed under the name uncultured bacterium. RNAcentral's name for it is "partial 16S ribosomal RNA". It matches the Rfam family "Bacterial small subunit ribosomal RNA", at positions 338 to 795 of the family's 1533-position model. The record is from RNAcentral.
CCUACGGGAGGCAGCAGUGGGGAAUAUUGCACAAUGGGGGAAACCCUGAUGCAGCGACGCCGCGUGAGUGAAGAAGUAUUUCGGUAUGUAAAGCUCUGUUAGCAGGGAAGAAAAUGACGGUACCUGAGUAAGAAGCCCCGGCUAACUACGUGCCAGCAGCCGCGGUAAUACGGAGGGGGCAAGCGUUAUCCGGAUUUACUGGGUGUAAAGGGAGCGUAGACGGGAGUGCAAGUCUGGAGUGAAAGGCGGGGGCUCAACCCCCGGACUGCUCUGGAAACUGUACGGCUGGAGUGCAGGAGAGGUAAGUGGAAUUCCUAGUGUAGCGGUGAAAUGCGUAGAUAUUAGGAGGAACACCAGUGGCGAAGGCGGCUUACUGGACUGUAACUGACGUUGAGGCUCGAAAGCGUGGGGAGCAAACAGGAUUAGAUACCCUUGUAGUC